This 254-nucleotide ribosomal RNA is filed under the name uncultured bacterium. RNAcentral describes it as "partial 16S ribosomal RNA". It matches the Rfam family "Bacterial small subunit ribosomal RNA", at positions 524 to 776 of the family's 1533-position model. The record is from RNAcentral.
CACGUAGGCACCAAGCGUUGUCCGGAUUUCUUGGGCGUAAAGAGCUCGUAGGCGGUUGAGUAAGUCGGGUGUGAAAACUCUGGGCUUAACCCAGAGCCGCCACCCGAUACUGCUCUGACUUGAGUUCGGUAGGGGAGCAGGGAAUUCCUAGUGUAGAGGUGAAAUGCGCAGAUAUUAGGAGGAACACCGGUGGCGAAGGCGCUGCUCUGGGCCGAAACUGACGCUGAGGAGCGAAAGCGUGGGUAGCAAACAGG